Molecule: ribosomal RNA, 253 nt
Filed under: uncultured bacterium
Lineage: Bacteria
Description: partial 16S ribosomal RNA
Rfam family: Bacterial small subunit ribosomal RNA
Source: RNAcentral
UACAGAGGUCCCAAGCGUUGUUCGGAUUCACUGGGCGUAAAGGGUGCGUAGGUGGUCAGGUAAGUCGGAUGUGAAAUCUCCGAGCUCAACUCGGAAACUGCAUUGGAAACUACCUGGCUCGAGGGUUGGAGGGGAGACUGGAAUUCCUGGUGUAGCGGUGAAAUGCGCAGAUAUCAGGAGGAACACCGGUGGCGAAGGCGGGUCUCUGGGCCGAUACUGACGCUGAGGAGCGAAAGCGUGGGGAGCGAACAGG